Molecule: transfer RNA, 73 nt
Filed under: Neotoma lepida (desert woodrat)
Lineage: Eukaryota; Metazoa; Chordata; Mammalia; Rodentia; Cricetidae
Rfam family: tRNA
About the family: Transfer RNA (tRNA) molecules are approximately 80 nucleotides in length. Their secondary structure includes four short double-helical elements and three loops (D, anti-codon, and T loops).
Source: Rfam by way of RNAcentral
UGGGGUGUGGCUCAGUUGGUAGAGCACUUGACUAGCAUGCACAAGGCCCUGGGUUCAACCCCCAGCAUGACAU